AUGUCACUGUCUGGUAGGAGGCUCAAAUGGCAAGAUCUGCAGCUUCUCAUUGGAAAAAUUAUGAAGAAAAUCGCUGGGUGGAAGGCUCGAUGGAUUUCUACUCCUGGGCGUGUCACUCUUGUAAGAUUUGUGCUCUCUGCCAUGCCUAUCUUCCAGUUGCUGGCAGUGGAACAACCCAAAUGGGUUUUCAAGCAGGUUGAUAAAUUGCGAAGGGCUUUCUUAUGGGCUGGUUCAGACUCGGUCAGUGGAGGCAAAUGUUUAGUUAAGUGGUCUCUGGUUUGCUUUCCCCUGGAACUUGGUGGUCUGGGAAUUCAUGACUUAUACAGACAAAGCAAGGCUUUGAAAGUGAGAUGGCUUUGGCAGAAUGCUUCCUGUCCUGACAAACCUUGGCAUGGGCUACCCCUACCUAUCGACAAGGAGAUCAAGAAUCUUUUCUGUGCAUCUAUGUCCUGGGAGAUCGGCAGCGGCACUGGCAUAUAUUUUUGGCAUGAUCACUGGCUUGAUGGGAUCUCCCCUUCCUUGGCUUACCCCAAACUUUUC
Molecule: ribosomal RNA, 540 nt
Filed under: Triticum aestivum (bread wheat)
Lineage: Eukaryota; Viridiplantae; Streptophyta; Magnoliopsida; Poales; Poaceae
Description: partial small subunit ribosomal RNA
Source: RNAcentral